CACUCCUACGGGAGGCAGCAGUGGGGAAUAUUGCACAAUGGGCGCAAGCCUGAUGCAGCCAUGCCGCGUGUAUGAAGAAGGCCUUCGGGUUGUAAAGUACUUUCAGCGGGGAGGAAGGCGAUAAGGUUAAUAACCUUGUCGAUUGACGUUACCCGCAGAAGAAGCACCGGCUAACUCCGUGCCAGCAGCCGCGGUAAUACGGAGGGUGCAAGCGUUAAUCGGAAUUACUGGGCGUAAAGCGCACGCAGGCGGUCUGUCAAGUCGGAUGUGAAAUCCCCGGGCUCAACCUGGGAACUGCAUUCGAAACUGGCAGGCUAGAGUCUUGUAGAGGGGGGUAGAAUUCCAGGUGUAGCGGUGAAAUGCGUAGAGAUCUGGAGGAAUACCGGUGGCGAAGGCGGCCCCCUGGACAAAGACUGACGCUCAGGUGCGAAAGCGUGGGGAGCAAACAGGAUUAGAUACCCGUGUAGUCCCAUG
This 474-nucleotide ribosomal RNA is filed under the name uncultured organism. RNAcentral describes it as "partial 16S ribosomal RNA". It matches the Rfam family "Bacterial small subunit ribosomal RNA", at positions 334 to 799 of the family's 1533-position model. The record is from RNAcentral.